UACAGAGGGUGCAAGCGUUAAUCGGAAUUACUGGGCGUAAAGCGCGCGUAGGUGGUUUGUUAAGUUGAAUGUGAAAUCCCCGGGCUCAACCUGGGAACUGCAUCCAAAACUGGCAAGCUAGAGUAUGGUA
Molecule: ribosomal RNA, 130 nt
Filed under: uncultured bacterium
Lineage: Bacteria
Description: partial 16S ribosomal RNA
Rfam family: Bacterial small subunit ribosomal RNA
Source: RNAcentral